GGUCUUGCUACGUUUCCCAGACUGGUCU
This 28-nucleotide non-coding RNA is filed under the name Homo sapiens (human). Lineage: Eukaryota; Metazoa; Chordata; Mammalia; Primates; Hominidae. The record is from RNAcentral.